CCUACGGGGAGCUGCAGUGGGGAAUAUUGGACAAUGGGCGAAAGCCUGAUCCAGCCAUGCCGCGUGUGUGAAGAAGGCCUUCGGGUUGUAAAGCACUUUCAGUGGGGAAGAAAGCCUUGGGGCUAAUACCCUCGAGGAAGGACAUCACCCACAGAAGAAGCACCGGCUAACUCCGUGCCAGCAGCCGCGGUAAUACGGAGGGUGCGAGCGUUAAUCGGAAUUACUGGGCGUAAAGCGCGCGUAGGCGGUCUGAUAAGCCGGUUGUGAAAGCCCCGGGCUCAACCUGGGAACGGCAUCCGGAACUGUCAGGCUAGAGUGCAGGAGAGGAAGGUAGAAUUCCCGGUGUAGCAGUGAAAUGCGUAGAGAUCGGGAGGAAUACCAGUGGCGAAGGCGGCCUUCUGGACUGACACUGACGCUGAGGUGCGAAAGCGUGGGUAGCAAACAGGAUUAGAUACCCUAGUAGUC
Molecule: ribosomal RNA, 465 nt
Filed under: Vreelandella stevensii
Lineage: Bacteria; Pseudomonadati; Pseudomonadota; Gammaproteobacteria; Oceanospirillales; Halomonadaceae
Description: partial 16S ribosomal RNA
Rfam family: Bacterial small subunit ribosomal RNA
Source: RNAcentral